AUCUAUAGCCAUACUGCCCUGAACACACCUGAUCCUGUCUGAUUUCAGAAGCUAAGCAAUGUCGGGCCUGGUUAGUACUUGGAUGGGAGACCAGGUGCUGCAGGCG
Molecule: ribosomal RNA, 106 nt
Filed under: Pteropus alecto (black flying fox)
Lineage: Eukaryota; Metazoa; Chordata; Mammalia; Chiroptera; Pteropodidae
Source: RNAcentral